This 58-nucleotide transfer RNA is filed under the name Mesocricetus auratus (golden hamster). It matches the Rfam family "tRNA", at positions 8 to 63 of the family's 71-position model. Rfam says of the family: Transfer RNA (tRNA) molecules are approximately 80 nucleotides in length. Their secondary structure includes four short double-helical elements and three loops (D, anti-codon, and T loops). Lineage: Eukaryota; Metazoa; Chordata; Mammalia; Rodentia; Cricetidae. The record is from Rfam by way of RNAcentral.
UAGCUUAGUUGGCAAAGAGCUUGCCUUACAAGCAUGAUGAUCUGAGUUAGAUCCUCAG